GUGAACAUACCUAUACGUUGCCUCGGCGGAUCAGCCCGCGCCCCGUAAAAAGGGACGGCCCGCCCGAGGACCCCUAAACUCUGUUUUUAGUGGAACUUCUGAGUAAAACAAACAAAUAAAUCAAAACUUUCAACAACGGAUCUCUUGGUUCUGGCAUCGAUGAAGAACGCAGCAAAAUGCGAUAAGUAAUGUGAAUUGCAGAAUUCAGUGAAUCAUCGAAUCUUUGAACGCACAUUGCGCCCGCCAGUAUUCUGGCGGGCAUGCCUGUUCGAGCGUCAUUUCAACCCUCAAGCUCAGCUUGGUGUUGGGACUCGCGGUAACCCGCGUUCCCCAAAUCGAUUGGCGGUCACGUCGAGCUUCCAUAGCGUAGUAAUCAUACACCUCGUUACUGGUAAUCGUCGCGGCCACGCCGUAAAACCCCAACUUCUGAAUGUUGACCUCGGAUCAGGUAGGAAUACCCGCUGAACUUAA
Molecule: ribosomal RNA, 471 nt
Filed under: Fusarium equiseti
Lineage: Eukaryota; Fungi; Ascomycota; Sordariomycetes; Hypocreales; Nectriaceae
Description: eukaryotic LSU rRNA
Rfam family: 5.8S ribosomal RNA (bases 125-278)
Source: RNAcentral